GCCCGGCUAGCUCAAUCGGUAGAGCGUGAGACUCUUACGGCAAGCGUCUACGAACAUCUCAAGGUUGUGGGUUCGACCCCCACGUCGGGCU
Diplogelasinospora grovesii is the source of this 91-nucleotide non-coding RNA. NCBI's taxonomy places the organism in Eukaryota, Fungi, Ascomycota, Sordariomycetes, Sordariales, Diplogelasinosporaceae. The record is from the annotation of a GenBank genome assembly.